CCUUCGGGUUAGUGGCGGACGGGUGAGUAACGCGUGGGAAUCUGCCCUCAGGAGGGGGAUAACGGUUGGAAACGACCGCUAAUACCCCAUAUGCCGAGAGGUGAAAUGAAUUUCGCCUGAGGAUGAGCCCGCGUCUGAUUAGCUUGUUGGUGAGGUAAUGGCUCACCAAGGCUUCGAUCAGUAGCUGGUCUGAGAGGAUGAUCAGCCACACUGGGACUGAGACACGGCCCAGACUCCUACGGGAGGCAGCAGUGGGGAAUUUUCCGCAAUGGGCGAAAGCCUGACGGAGCAACGCCGCGUGAGGGACGAGGGCCUCUGGGCUGUAAACCUCUUUUCUCAAGGAAGAAGAUCUGACGGUACUUGAGGAAUAAGCCACGGCUAAUUCCGUGCCAGCAGCCGCGGUAAUACGGGAGUGGCAAGCGUUAUCCGGAAUUAUUGGGCGUAAAGCGUCCGCAGGCGGCCUUUCAAGUCUGCUGUUAAAGCGUGGAGCUUAACUCCAUUAUGGCAGUG
Molecule: ribosomal RNA, 510 nt
Filed under: uncultured bacterium
Lineage: Bacteria
Description: bacterial SSU rRNA
Rfam family: Bacterial small subunit ribosomal RNA
Source: RNAcentral